RNAcentral lists this ribosomal RNA (253 nucleotides) under uncultured bacterium. Its description in RNAcentral is "partial 16S ribosomal RNA". It matches the Rfam family "Bacterial small subunit ribosomal RNA", at positions 524 to 776 of the family's 1533-position model. The record is from RNAcentral.
UACAGAGGGGGCAAGCGUUGUUCGGAAUUACUGGGCGUAAAGGGCGCGUAGGCGGCCUGCUAAGUCGAACGUGAAAUCCCCGGGCUCAACCCGGGAACUGCGUCCGAUACUGGCAGGCUUGAAUCCGGGAGAGGGAUGUGGAAUUCCAGGUGUAGCGGUGAAAUGCGUAGAUAUCAGGAGGAACACCAAUGGCGAAGGCAGCUCGCUGGGACGGUACUGACGCUGAGACGCGAAAGCGUGGGGAGCAAACAGG